CCUACGGGAGGCAGCAGUGGGGAAUAUUGGGCAAUGGCCGCAAGUCUGACCCAGCAACGCCGCGUGAAGGAAGAUGGCUUUCGGGUUUUAAACUUCUUUUAAGGGGGAAGAACAGAAGACGGUACCCCUUGAAUAAGCCACGGCUAACUACGGGCCAGCAGCCGCGGCAAUCCCUAGGUGGCAAGCGUUGUCCGGAUUUACUGGGUGUAAAGGGCGUGCAGCCGGAAAGAAAAGUAAGAUGUGAAAUCCACGGGCUCAACGCGUGAAGUGCAUUUGAAACUGUCUCGCUUGAGUGUCGGAGAGGUACGAGGAAUUCGUGGUGUAGCGGUGAAAUGCGUAGAUAUAAGGAAGAACACCGGUGGCGAAGGCGGAUUACUGGACGAUAACUGACGGUGAGGCGCGAAAGCGUGGGGAGCAAACAGGAUUAGAUACCCGAGUAGUC
Molecule: ribosomal RNA, 442 nt
Filed under: uncultured bacterium
Lineage: Bacteria
Description: partial 16S ribosomal RNA
Rfam family: Bacterial small subunit ribosomal RNA
Source: RNAcentral